UUUUUUUUUUUUUUUUUUGGUCUUCUUAUGUUUUUAGGGCUGCACCUGCAGCAUAUGAAUAUUCCCAGGCUAGGGGUCCAAUCGGAGCUGCAGCUGCUGGCCUGGGUCAGAGCCACAGCAACAUGGGAUCUGAGAUGCAUCUGUGACCUACACCACAGCUCAACAGCAAUGCUGGAUCCUUAACCCACUGAGCGAGGCCAGGGAUCGAACCUACAUCCUCAUGGAUGCUAGUUGGGGUUUUGCUAGCAGGUGAUCCACAACAAGAACUCCCAAAGUUAUCCUUUUUUAAUCCUUUUUUAAUCUUAGUCACCACUGCCCACUUGGAUGUUGGCUACUAAAGUAUUCAGACUGCCUUCUACUUCUAGCAUUGGAACAGAAAGCAUGGGGAAGUGAAUAUCUGAGCAAUGAAUAGCUCCUUCAAUAAUUAGUUAAUUCCUAAAAUACCACAGUUAAAGAUUCAUUCUUUGGGCUUAAAACUUUUGGCCCCUGGUAAACACAUACAAGGUCAGGUACAUUUGAAGUCUUAUCAGUUAUUUGCAUCUAAAUAUGAAUGAAUAAUCUUAUCAGCUCUCUCUCCCCUUUAGGUUUUGAAAAGGUAAAAAGCAUAGUCUCCAAAACCUGGAGGGCUAAGGGGAGGCUGUUUAGUUACUUGAUUUUGAAUACUUUUAACCAUGUCCUAAAGUUCAUUUUUUUAUGCUAGUUAAUCACAUUUUAAAGAUUAAAAUGAAGCCAUGUAAAAUCAAGUGGCAGAGCUUACACAGGCAUACAUUUACAGGUUCUGUUACAAACCAUGGCAAGGAGGUAAGUCACAUGAAUUUAUUGGUUUCCAAGUACACAUAAAAGUUAUGUUUAUACUAUACUGUCAUCUAUUAGGUGUGCAGAGCAUUAUGGCAAAAAAAAAUUUUGUAUACCCUAAUUUUAAAAUCCUUUAUGGCUGAAAAAAAAAAAAAAAAGGUUACAUAUCAUCUGGACCUUCAGUAAGUCAUCAUCUUUUUGCUAAUGGAGAGUAGUGCCUCAAUACUGAUGGCUUCUGGUCAAUCACGGGGGUGGUGGCUAAAGGUUGGGGCAGCUGUGGAAAUUUCUUAAAAUAAGACAACAGUGAAGUUGGCUGCAUAGAUUGAUUCUUCCUUUUAUGAAUGAUUUCUCUGCAGCAUGCAGUGCUGUUUGACAGUGUUUUACCCACAGUAGAACUUAUUUUAAAAUUGGAGUCAAUUGUCACAAACCCUGCUGCUGCUUUAUUAACUAAAUUUAGUCAUCUUCUAAAUCCUUCAUUAUCAUUUAAACAAUCUUCACAGCAAUCUUCACAUGGAGAUUCUGUCUCAGGAAAUUACUUCCUUUGCUCAUCCAUCAGAAGCAACUCCCUAUCCAAUUCAGCCACAUCUUCAGGCUCCAGUUCUAACUCUGGUUCUCUUGCUAUUUCCAUCGCAUCUGUAGUUAACUUCCUCCAGUGAAGUUUUGAACCCCUCAAAUUGUCCAUACGGGUUGGAGUCAGAUUAUUCCAAACUCUUGUUAAUGUUGAUAUUUUUACCUCUUUCUAUGAAUCAUAAAUAUUUUAGUAGUAUAUAAAAUGGAAUGCCUUCCUGAAGGAUUUCCACUUACUUUGCCCUGAUCCAUCAGAAUAAUCAUUUAUGGCAGCUCUAGCCUUACAAAAUGUAUUUCUAAAAUAAUAAGACUUCAAAGUUGAAAUUACACCUUAAUCUAUGGCUGAGAAUGGAUGUUAUGUUAGUAGUUAUGACAAAAAUAUUAAUCUCCUGUACAUCUUCAUUAGAGCUCUUGGGUGACCAACACGAAGUGCUAUUUUGAAAGGAAUCUUUUUGCUGAGUAGUAGGUCUCAACAGUAGGCUUCAAAUAUUCAGGAAACCAUGCUGUCAACACGGUUUACUGAAUGACACAUCUACUAUCAUCCAGUCUUUAUAAUCCCAUUUGUAGAGCAUAGGUGGAGUAAGCUAAUUAGGCUAAUUCUUAAAUGCUCUAGCAUUUUCAGAAUGGUAGAUGAACACUGGCUUCAACUUCAUGUCACCAGGUAUAUUAGGCCAAAGAAACACAGUCUGCUUGUCUGUUGAAGCUUAGAAGUUAGGAAUUGACUUCUCCUCUCUAGUUAUGACAGUCCUAGAUGCCUUCUAAUACAUGGCUAUUUCUUCUACAUCGAAAAAAUCGACUGUUUUGUAUAGCCACCUUCCUUAAUGUUCUUUGCCAGAUCUUCUGGAUAGCUUGCUGCAGCUUUUAUAUAAUCACCUGAUGCUUUAUUCAACUUGUAUGUUUAUGUUAUGAAGACUGUUUGGCUUUUCUUUUUUCUUUAAACGACAUGAAACAACUUCUGCUAGCUCCAAACUUUUCUUCUGAAGCUUCCUUACCUCUUUUGACCUUCACAGAACUGAAAUGAAUUAGGGCCUCUCUCUGGAUUAGUCUUUGGCUUAAGGAGACAUUGUGGCUGGUUUGAUCCUCUGUUUUGACCACUGAAACUUUCUUCAGACAUUGUGGCUGGUUUGAUCUUCUGUUGAGACCAUUGAUACAAUUCCUUAUCAUUUGUGUAUUCACUGGAGUAACACUUUUAAUUUUCUUCAAGAAUGAUUCCUUUUGCCCUUGUCUAACUGGUGCAAGAGGCCCACAUUUCAGCUUGACUCAACUUUCAAUAUGCCUUCCUCACUAAGCUUAAACAUUUCUAAUUUUUUAUUUAGAUCGAGAGACUUGUGACUCUUUCUUUCACUGAACUUGAACUUGAGGUCAUUGUACAGUAUUAACCAGCCUAAUUUCAACAUAGUUUUAUCUCAGAAAUAGGGAAGCCUGAGAAGAUGGAAAGAGGUGGGGGGAUGGCCAGCCCAGGGAAACAGAGCAGUUAGAACGCAGACAACACGCAUAGAUUAAGUUUGCCAUCUUAUGUGGAGAUGGUUCAUAGUGCCCCAAGACAAUUACAGUAGUAACAUUAAAGAUUACUAAUCACAGAUCAUCAUAUCAAAUUUAUCAAUAAUGAAAAAAUUUGAAAAACUGAAAAGUUUUAAAUUAUGAGAAUUACCAAAAUAUGACACAGACACAAAGUGAGUAAAUGCUAUUGGAAAAAUGGUACUAAGGUUGCCACAACCCUUCAAUUUAUUUAAAAAAAAAAAAACAACACAGCAUCUGUGAAGUGUAAUAAAGUAAGGUAUAAUAAAAUGAGAUAUAUCAUAUUUAGGUGAAAUCUGUAUUCCUAAAUUAUGUGUAUUCAUAGUUCAGACUGUGAGACCAAGAGAAGACUGACUUUAUCAAUACCACAGUUUUCUGUUGGAUGCUCUAUUUCACCCUUUUUAUAUUAAUACAAGACUGCCAGGUUACGAAGAGUUAAAGGAAAAGGAAUUCUCUAAAUAAAAAGCCCUUGUUGAAAUGGCAAGUGAAACUUUACAGCUCUUCUUCAUACAUCUAGAUCUUUCUUCCUUGCAUUCCACAUAUGUUAUUAAGUUUAAUUUGAUACAGGUAAGAAAGUUGAACAAUAUGUUUCAAAUUCUAGGCUAUCUUCCUUCAGCUAUGAGGGUUCACAGAAAAUAUAAUUAUAUGAGUUAAUUACUUUAUAAACUUUUCUCCACAAUCAAAAAUUAUUUGUUCUUCAUCUUUUUCUCCACAACUCAAAGCAACUACAACAUGUAAGAGAUGCCAAAAGGGGACCUAAAAUGAUACUAUACUGCUUUCCUUCACAAAAUUGAGUACAGAAAUUGGAACUGAUCUCUGCCAAGAUUUUUGCAGAAGUUUCACCACACAGCUUGACAUAAAUAAUAGCAUUUGGUUAAAGAGAUGGCUUUAUCAUGAAGUUUUUAGCAUUUCUGUCACUACUUUUUUGGGUCAUAAAACACAUUUCUACUAGUAAAAGGAUAGGAAUGAAUCUAUCAAAAUCUUUUGUAAGCAAAUAAUGUUUGUUAGUACAAUGCUAGGCCAGGUCUUAUAUAUCACUUUUAAAAACUAACAAUUUUGUUGAAAUUCAAAAAUGAUACAAGGCCUGCUCAGUAAUUGUGAUCUACGGCACAAUUUUCUUAUUUGUCUACAAAUGUGGUUUUCCAAAUUGCUCUCCUCAGUUGACUAACCAAAGCAAUAUAAAAAACAUUUUUCAAGUAAAGAAUUUAUAUUAUGUGGCUAUAUUUAUUUCAUUUAUAUGUUCAUUUAUUUGUUCAUUGGUGAAUUCAUUCAACAAAUAAUGUUGUAAGCCGACUGUGAACAAGGCCAUAGGAUUUGACAAAUAUGUGUAAGGCAGGGGCCUUGAUCUCAAGAAACUUAUAGGAAAUUUACAUAUGAAAACAACCAUGCAAAGCAGUAUAUAAUAAGCCAGUACCAAAAUAACUUUGCCAUUCUAAAGGUUCCACUAAACUAUGGUAGGAGUUAGGUGUCUAUAGGAGGCAUGAGUGGAUAUAAAUGAAUGAAAUGCUUCAAAAAACACACUUUAAGAGGGCAGAUUCCUUCCAAUCUCAGCUAACUUGCUAUCAUGCAAGCAUGCAAGUGCAAGAUUGUUAGGGCUCAUUAUUUUUCAAAAGAAAGGCCAGAUUUUUACCUAGAAAUAGUGUCAUCUACAGAUUUUUAAAAGUACACUGAAAAUUAAACACACACACACACACGCACACGCACACAGGACAAAAUAAAAAUCAGCUAUAGUUUUCAAAAGAACAAAGAACCACAUCUGACCAGAAGGACCUAGAAAGGCUGUAUGCAAAAGGCAAUGUUUUAGUUCUUUGUUUUUCUUUUUCUUUUUCCUUUUUUUUUUUUUGUUCUUUCUAAGGCCGACCUGCACCAUAUGGAAGUUCACAGACCGGGAGUCAAAUUGGAGCUGCAGCUGCCAGCCUACACCAUAGCCACAGCAACAGAGGAUCUGAGCCACGUCUACAACCUACAACACAGCUCAUGGAUGGCAAUGCCAGAUCCUUAAACCACUGAGCAGGGCCAGGGAUUGAACCAGCAUCCUCAUGGAUAUUUGUC
RNAcentral lists this long non-coding RNA (4932 nucleotides) under Sus scrofa (pig). Its description in RNAcentral is "lncRNA (ENSSSCG00015004440.1)". Lineage: Eukaryota; Metazoa; Chordata; Mammalia; Artiodactyla; Suidae. The record is from RNAcentral.